CAGAGACCACUCUAGUGGCCCAGGCUAGUGACCAGGAACAUGUACCUUCCUGCAGCCAACCACAGACGUCCACUGAUGCAUCAUAUACUGGCAAAGAUCCUGGCCUGGGGGGGUCUUGGCCGCCAGAGAUUCGCCAGAUGUUGGACUCCAGGCAAGCUUGCUCCUGGGAGGUGGGGUGGUUAGGUCAGGGGGCGGCGGCAGCGGCAGUGGGGCGGAGCGGGGCUGCCCCUGGCGAACUGGUGGAAUAGCUGCCUUGUCCCGGCUGCCGGGCGUGGGAGCGGCCUCUGCUGCCCCAGAGGCGGGACGCGGGUCUCCAGGUGAGCUUGCUCCUGGGAGGCGGCGGCGGCGGCGCCAGGGGGAGGGGGACCGUUCCAGGUAGCUGCUCCAUUUCUUCUCUCCCCCGCGGCCUGGCCUGGGGGCGACCUCUGCCACCGGAGAUUUGCCUGAGGUCUGUCUCCAGGAGAGCUUGCUCCUGGGAGAUGGGUGCGGUGCGGUCAGGGGGCUGGUAAGGUGAUGGCUGCGGGGAUAGGGAGGCUGCCCCGGGGGAGCCUGUGGACUAGCUCCCAUGUCUGUGUAGCGUGGCCUGCAGGCGGCCUCUGCUGCGCCAGGUCCCGGAACACCCCUGUCCCACUUUGCCUGCUGGGGGCGGGAGGCAGGGUAAUCAGGGUGCAGGGGUGGCGGGGGUCGGGGGCCUGCAGCGGGGGAGCGGGCCCAUUUGCUCCCAUCUUCCCCGCGGCUUGUCCUGGGGGCGGUUUCUGUUGCCCUGGGUUACAAGACACGUGUAUCCUAGUCGGCCUGAUCCCGGGAGGCGGGCGUGGUACGUUGGGGUUGGUGGCAGCAGUGGCAGGUUUUCCUAUGGAGCCAGUCCAUUUGCUCCCAUUUCCCCCCAUGGUUUGUCCUGGGGGCGGUCCCUGUUGUCCCAAGUUCGCCGGACGUCAAUCUCCAGGUGACAUUUUAGGUUAUUGGGUCACAGAUUGCUGGCACACUCAUCCCUAUUCUCAAACAUCUUUUAAACUUGGGUGAAGUGAUAAGUAGGAGAAG
This is a non-coding RNA of Vicugna pacos (alpaca), 1041 nucleotides long. NCBI's taxonomy places the organism in Eukaryota, Metazoa, Chordata, Mammalia, Artiodactyla, Camelidae. The record is from RefSeq and is a predicted model, not a curated record.